Molecule: ribosomal RNA, 549 nt
Filed under: Exechiopsis seducta
Lineage: Eukaryota; Metazoa; Arthropoda; Insecta; Diptera; Mycetophilidae
Description: partial 12S ribosomal RNA
Source: RNAcentral
AAUAAAUGCGAAUAAAUUUUAUUAUCUAAAAGUUAAAAAUGUAAUUUUUAAUAUAUAAUUAAAUUUAUUAGGUUAAAUUUUAAAUUUAUAAAAUUAUUAAAAAAUAAAUUAUUUUAAGCUUACAAAAUUUUAUUAAUAAACUAGGAUUAGAUACCCUACUAUAAAAAAUGUAUUUUUACAAGAUAGAGUAGUAUAAGCUAUAUUCUUAAAACUUAAUAAAUUUGGCGGUAUUUUAAUCUAUUCAGAGGAACUUGUUUUUUAAUCGAUAAUCCCCGUUGUAUCUUACUUAUUUUUUUAGUUUGUAUACCAUCGUCAUAAGAAUCUCUUAAAAAAGAAAAAAUUUUCUUAAUAGUUUAAUAUCUAAAAUGUCAGAUCAAGGUGCAGCUUAUGAAUAAGUAAAAAUGAGUUACAAUAAAAUUAUUUAUACGAAUUGUUAAUUGCAAUAUUAAUUUAAAGGUGGAUUUGACAGUAAAAUAAAUUAAAAAAUUUAUUUGAUUUUAGUUCUAAAAUAUGCACAUAUCGCCCGUCGCUCUCGUUAUUUAAAAUGAG